Myotis daubentonii (Daubenton's bat) is the source of this 1123-nucleotide long non-coding RNA. RefSeq lists it as uncharacterized. NCBI's taxonomy places the organism in Eukaryota, Metazoa, Chordata, Mammalia, Chiroptera, Vespertilionidae. The record is from RefSeq and is a predicted model, not a curated record.
GUGACGCCGUCGCUCCGCCCCCUCGGCCGCUGGGCUGUGCCGCGCAGGAGGGAAGCCGGCGGGGUUGCUGGUGCUACGGUGUCCGGGGCCCUCCGCUCACCCGCCCGCUUGGCCCUAAACAGCCAGGGCGGCGGGGGGGCUGGGUCCCCCUCGCAGGUGAUGAGGCGUUAGUUCUGCAAACCACCUGCUUGCAAGUGGUUGCUCUGGAGCCUGCGCGCUCUCCACCUGCUGUAAGCAAAGGCCACCGCGGGGAGCAGCUGGGAUUCCAGACAAACCCACUUUCCAGAAAGGUCUUGUCCGGGGCGCGGGGCCCAGAGCUGAACCGAGCGCGCGCCUCCCGCAGCCGCCAGGCCCCGGGCCUGGUCUGUGGGGCCUGUCGGCACGCGUUACCUGCCGCGCGUUGGAGCCCGCUUCCUGUUCUGCCAUUUUGCUUAACAGCCAACUUGAUGGAGGGGCGUGGGGCGGGGUCGCUACGAAGGACAGUGGCAGGUUGACGUCGGGCGGUGCCGAGUUUAGGUUUUGGUCAUCGCACCGUGUGAGCCUCAAACAGAGUCUUCGGCGUGAGGGCGGGGCCCGGGCCCCCCAGGCGGUUGGAGGAAUCGCGUGCCGGUGCGGAGGGGACAGUGACGCGCAGAACGCGGGUGGCGACCCAGCGCCGGGCUGGGGGCGAGUGGAGCGGGGAGCCCCCUCCUGAACGCGGCUGCGCUGCCGGCUCCGUCCCGGUGGAACGAAGUGACAGCCCCGACGUGUGUGUGUGUGUGUGUGUGUGGGGGGGGUGGUGGGGGGUCCCGGCAGCACAGAGCCCGCUGCCGGCUCCGUCCCGCUCGGUCCCCGUCCCGAGGGCGCUCAGGCGCCUUUGGAGUCACCUGGGAGCAGGGCCUCCGUCCUGGCCGGGCCUCAGCCCCCUGCAGCCCCGCCGCACCCGCUGCCCGGCCCGGGGACCCAGCGAGGCCCCCGCCACCCCGGCCCCGGCGCUGGGACCUGAGACGGGAGCGAGCGCCGGGUCACCCAUCACACAGCUACAGAGCACGAAUCCACAAGUUAAAGGGGACGGUGUUCUUUGUAUGAUUGUUGCAACUUUUCUAUAAGUUUGAAGUAUUUCAAAAUAGAGUUUAAAAAUAAA